This 395-nucleotide long non-coding RNA is filed under the name Sinocyclocheilus grahami. Its description in RNAcentral is "lncRNA (ENSSGRG00000025027.1)". The record is from RNAcentral. Lineage: Eukaryota; Metazoa; Chordata; Actinopteri; Cypriniformes; Cyprinidae.
GACCGCUGAUCAUUGUGCUGGUGUUCAGUGUGAUAUUGAGCUGUGCUGCAGUGCUUGUGAUCACGCUGUGCAAAACCAGUGAGUCUUUUAGACUAUUUACUCAGCCUAUACAUUACUUAUUACAAUCAAUAUGAAACUAUUCAUUCACAUUUAUGCUCUUUUUUUUUGGCAACAAAUGAGCAGAGCGAGUGUUGCCAAGAAGUACCAGCUUAAGGAAUCUCAGACAGUCACACACUGAGAAUACAUACGCUGAGAUUCCCUGUGAAGGACCGCUGGCUCAGGCGGCUCUCAGAGAGGAUGACGUGAUCUACUCCACAGUCUCACCUGGAUAUCUUUAUCAGGUAAACUCACUACUGGCUCUACAACACACCUAGUCAGGUUAGAAUCUUACAUGG